AAAAGAGUUUUGGCAACAAAUAUCUUUCAUCACGCAUAUGGGAAGAGGGAAGCAAAAAUUCACACCAAGUAUGACAUUCAGAAUCGUUUGUACCAUAGAGUUGAGGAAAGCAAUCUGUGCCCAAAACUAUCUGGUGGAGGGCGAGGCCCCUGGGCGUCAG
This 160-nucleotide ribosomal RNA is filed under the name Scorzonera boissieri. RNAcentral describes it as "5.8S ribosomal RNA". The record is from RNAcentral. RNAcentral also lists the same sequence under 1 other name. Lineage: Eukaryota; Viridiplantae; Streptophyta; Magnoliopsida; Asterales; Asteraceae.